CUCCUAUCCUCCUUGUUCCCUGUCAGGAGCUGGGAAGCUUGCAAUCAUGGCUGGAAUUUUGCUUUCUUUCUCCAGAGCCCGCAGGCUGCUUCAGAGGGCCUGAUUAGCACUGUAGAUAUUCUUCAUGCGAGGCUCCUAUCAGCAAACCGAAGGCACAACCCUCAGACAACAGCCCUCAGACACCCGCCUGCCAGCGCUACAGCUGACAGGCUGUGCCAUAAUAGCUUCUCGCUGUUACAGCUCUCCCGGCUCUCCAAUUAAAACUAAAAGGAAAAAAAAAAAAAAGAAAGGAAAAAAAAAAAAGGGAGGAGAAGGGAAGAAAGGAAGCUUUCUGCAUACUAAACACUCUCUGUUCUUCAAUGUGGGCACAAGGAUAUUUCUAGCUGUUCCCCAGGAAUGGUGAGGUAGAAUUGAAGCCGGACAGCAGGAGUGGAGGCUCUGAAGGCAGUGGGCGAGCCUUUGGUUUACCCCUGGGUGCCACCAACAGCAAGCAAGAGGCUCCCCUGAGCUGGACCCCUGGGCGAGGCUGAGCCAAGGGUACCCACUGCAACAACACAAGUCCAAGAGGAGAGAUCCCAGAACAAAGUUAGAAUGGGUGCAAAGUAAAAGAAAGGGUAAGGCUCUUAUAAAUAUAUAUAUAUAUAUUGUGAUAGUUCUUUCACUCUUUCCUAACUCUCCUAUUGUUUGGGUUUGCUUGUGAUUUACAGCAGUCCAGGAUAAAGGAGCCCUGAGCACUCUUUAUGCCACACAGAGUGCCGGCUGACAGAGCGUAAUGCCAGUGGUGGUGGUUUGGCACCAUCCUCCAGGAGGUGAAGGCCCCAUGGGCUGGUCAGACAGGGCACACGCAGCACGCUUCUGCAGGCCUUCAGGCAGGAGCUUGUGCCACCAUUUCCAUCCAGAGCUGCCUUUUCUCUCCCUCCCACAUUUCCCCUUGUGUCUGACUCUCCAGGCCAGCUGUCUCACUGCAAGUCUGGCUGUCUUUUCUUAAAAAAAAAAUAGUGCGAUUUAUUUGGGAUGUACACACAAGUGCAAAAUUUGCAUAUAAACCUAACUGCCAAGAAAUAAAAACAUAUUCAAAAUCAGCCAAUUCCACUGAUGAGAGCAUGAUGCUUAGCAUUCCUGAAUACAUUGAGUAAAUUAUACGUGCCGCACUAUUCAUGCGUUGCCUGACUAUAAGAUUUACUCAUGCAAACAGCCACAGAAACAACAUAAUAAGAAAUCUGUGGUGUAUUUUCAGAAGGCAGGUAUUUUAGCUGAGGAGCGAGCCUGACAAUGGGGUUUGUAACCCAGGAAAGCAGGAAUCUACUGCUUGUUUGGAUGCCUGACUGGAGCCCAGGACAGCUAUCAAGCGUCCCAGGCAGCCCAGAUCUCACUAUAUUUCAAAAAUACUCUUUUUCCCUUUCUCCCACACUUUUUUAUCUGCCUUAAUGUGGGGAUUACUUCAGUCCAUCUAUUUGGUGCCCACAGCAACACCCCAUUGGUGCUCUUCGGUCCCGCAGUCACACAGAUAAAAGUGAUCCAUGCAGUUGUUACUAAAUAGGUAUGGAAGCGUUUUCAAGAAGCUCUCACCAAAAAUAGCCACCAAAACCUCACCUGAAAUAUUUGGUUGCAUUUAUAGUUGGAAUUACUAACUGUUUUGCAAGCUCAUAGGCUUGCUGAAAGGCUACACUGUGCCUGAGGAUUUGAUGUCUAUGGUAAACGUCAUAGGAUCAUAGAAUCAUUUGAGUUGGAAGGAAUCUUUAAAGGUCAUCUAGUCUGAGAGUCCCUUUUAACUAUAUCCUAUACAACUGAUGCAAAACUGAGAGGUAGGCUUGCUUUGAAGUGACAAGUCAACUUUAAACCAAAAUCCAACUAAAUGAGGGGGCUGAAAUUCCUUCCACUCUGGUUUAUCAUGGUGAUGAACUGGACCAGAAUCUAUGCACACAUUGCCUAGCCAGAGGUGAAGAAGGAAAGAUGUGGACUUACGAGAGGUUCCAAAAGAAUGGUAAGCUGUCUUUUUUUUUUUUAAGUAACUCAUACUCUGAUAAAACACAGUCUUUUUUUUUUUUUUUUUUUUUUUUUUAGUACUAUUGCAACUGGGUGUGGCCUUAGAAAAGGCUCAAAAUGCGCACACAAAGAGAAACUGACACCAAAUUGAGGCAGACUGGACAUCCAGGUCUUUGGAGGCACCUGCUGCUUGGGCACAUUGCUUUCUGCUACCCUUGUGAGGUAGAGGAAACACCCAGGUAGAGACAGCUGAUCAGAGUCAAAGGUGCAAGAAAGACCACAGCUUCGCUGUGAAAUGGAUGGCAUGGGGGGAUUCUAAAGGAAAGGACUAGUUUUGUGAUGGGGAAAAUGGAUGGCAAGGGGAAGAUGGUGAAGACAGCGUGGAAGUGGAAGAUAAACAAUGGGAAAAGAAGAAAAAAAUAAUAUUUCUAUACAUAUAUUCUACGUACGCUGUCUAUCACACUUUUUGUAUCUAUUGAAGCAUGAUUUUAGUGAAUUUGCUACCCUAUAGGGAAGUAAGUACCAAAAGCUCAGAUCAUUAAUCCUUAAUACUGAGUAGAUGCAGCUUGUUAGUUUGUACUUCACCAUGUAAUUACAGCUAAUGUGAAAUGUUCUUAGAAACGCUGGGCUGCUAUUCUGCACAUCCAAGUUGGAUGUCGGGAAGGAGAUGUCCUGGAGUGGACAGUCACGUCCAGAUGGGUGAAGGUGUACUUUCAGCUGUUCUGAUGACUGACAGCAGAUUUUGGCAAUUAAUUCUAAUUUAAAGAUGACAUUUUGAAAUAGUUGGCAAGUAACUUAAUAUUCUAAAUCUAAUCUCCCCACAUGAAAUCCCAGUCAAUGCCUUUUGGAUCCCCAGCCACAAUGCCCUUUUGCUGAUGCCAAGACUUUGGCAUCUGGAUUUGACUCCUGAUCUUCUGCAAAAUCAUUUACUCGUGGAUUCCUCACAUCCACUCUGGGAACUCUCAUUGAGCAUGUGACAGUUAACAUGCUAUGCAGCUCCCCUUUCCCUUCCCCCUAAUUUCAUUUUUUUGAUUGCUGUAGUUAAAAUAAUCAUUUAGUUUAGAGUUAACCAAUUGCUUUGUGCAGGUAUUAUAAAUAUAUGGAUUUUGAAAGGCAGUGACAAUCUCAUCCAAGAUAACAAAAGCCACUACUGCAAGAGACACGUCCUAGGCUACUUGUGCUGUAUGCUCAUGAAAGCAUUAAGAUGUGUUUACGGUCAUUUGAAAGUCACAGUCACCUGGGUGAGCAGAUUACACAGUCCCGAUGUCAUUAAUUAGUCAUCAACAAAAUUUAGCUCUAACAGCAAAUGUAUUUUCUGAAUUAUCAAAGUGAUCUGUAGGAGAUCAGCAGAGGCUUUUGGAAAAAUUAGCUGUUGCUCUCUCCACAGACAGAAAUCACAGAGCAGAGACUUGUGCUAAUGUACACAGCACAGGCAAAUGGACUAAAGGAUGUUUGCUGCAAUUAUCGUUGGUGGACAUAAGAGUUACAGAGUGGCUGAACAGAAUUCUCCUGCUUAACAGAGGAAGAGAUGAUUUCAUUACGAAAAAAUACAUAUGACAGAAGUGCAGAGGAUUUCAGAGGGAAGGAAGUGAAGACUGAUGUGACCAUUAAUUCGUUCUCUGGACUGGUCAGAUCGUCAAUAACCUAACCCCACCUUGUGGUUGUUCUGGAGUCGUUUGCUUGCUUUGCUCAUUAGGCUGCAAACUCUUGCUGAAGAACAGCCAACUAUUGAUUAAGGCUCAUGACAAAAGGAAAGAUAUAAAAAACAAAACCGAGGAGUGUCAUUCUGGCAUGUACUGAAGGAGUCCACAUGGGUGGAAAAGGAAAGAUAAUGUCAAGUUCCAGACAACUUGAAAGCUGGGUUUACUGAGCCGAGUGGUGAGAACACUCACAUUUUAGGUCAACCGUGGUAAAUUUGUUAUAGCAUCAGCCCAGUCACACCUGGAGAAAAAUUAGUGUCUCAUUAUUUAUUCAGAGCAUCCCCAUUUUUUCAGAAGUUGUAUUAUUAGAAACACGCGUUCCAAAGAUGCAGGCUUUCAGGUAACUGUGAUUUACAGUUAUCACUAUGCAUGUUUCCAGUUAACAGCAGGUUCUCUUGCUAAAAAGCACACAUACAGCGCUGCACUUAGUUAAUAAGAAAUGGAAUAAAAAAUGGAUGAAAAUGAUCUCUUUUUAAGACACAUGUCUGUUUUCCCUGCUUUUGUGAAAUCAAAGCAUCAAAGAAAGAAAUCUUCUUUUCAGUGACUCACUGGCAACCUAUUAGCAUAUUUGCCUAUGUCCCUGUCAGCCACUCUUACAUCAACACUUUCACAAAAGCUACCUACUGCAGACUGGUGUCUGCUCUGGCUAGCUUGCUGGUCACCAUCGUGAUAUAAUCUCCUUCCAAAGCAAUUUAAUUAGCACAGGGAAAGAAAUGACCUUUCUCAAGUUUUUAUUUUUUCCACUAGGCUAAAUAUAUCUCACUGAAUAUGUCAAUAGUAUCCUUGAUGCACACAGCACUCCAAUACCCUGUUGUAAGGAAAAAAGAAUUUUAAAGCACUAAUUUUAUAGGUAAUGAGGAAAAUAAGCUUUUUAAUGUCCUUUGAAAUAGGCAAAGCUAUUUGGAAUGCAGAACUGUUGAGAAAGUCCUUAGGUGAAUGGAUUGUAGAUAAUAAUAUGCCAUGCUUCUUGCACUUUAUAGUAACAGAUAUUGUGAAUAAUGGCUAUUACAAGGCAUUUUACAAAAGUACUCUGAUUUAUUUUCCAUCAUUCAUGGAUCAGAAGGCACAGAAAACUGAACAAAGUCCAAAUACUUUUGCUGAAGUCCAUCUCACAAGCUGUCCAUCUCACAGAUCUUGCCUGCAAGGACACUCCUGAAAUUUCUUUAUUCAUAAUUUAUUAAUUCCAUCCUUGCCUGGACUGCAAAAGCAUCAGCUGAUGUUUUACAGUGUGCUGAGCAUCUCUGCGUAGCAGCUAUAAAGACGCAGCUAUUCCCAGUGCAGUACUUGCCCGGUUCCUUGCCAGAGCCCAACCAGCACUGCACAUUUUUCCUGCUCACCAACUCCCAUAGAAAAAUAAAACCCGAGGGUCCUCAGACCCUGCUGCUGCCACUGAUGUGGACUAAGAAAUAUCCACCCCAGCAGGUGCAAAUGACAGUCCUACCUAUGUCUGCAUUUACAGUCCGUGUCUAACAGUAGAAAGAGCACAGAGGUUCAGGCUCAUAAGAAGACAGAACUUGAUUGGUAACAGAAUAUCGGUCAGGUCUCUGCAGUCACUUGGCCAAGAUGAAGUGAGCAGAAUGUCCUCUCACCGUGACUGUGAUGGAUAAUGCUUCUGUUUGACUUCUCCUGAAUAGUGCAUGCGCUAUUACACACUUGGAAUCCUUAUAUUCUCUGGCAGCUGUAAGAAGACUGCAAACUGUAGCUCCUCAUGUAGCCUACCAGUCUUUUUGUAUGAAGACUUGUUUGCUGAAUGUUGCCCAUCAAACAUGUGCGGGUGAUUGCACUAUAUACCACCUUACAAUUUUAUGUGUGUAUGUGUGUGUAACUCCACAUGCAUGCACAUACCCUGAUACGCAUGUACAUACACAGAAAGAAGGCAAAAAUACUCUAGAAAUUAUCUUUUUUUUUUUCAUAGGAGUUUAUGUGAAUUAUUUUUCCUUAUUUGUGUUUCAGUUUGUUUGAGCUGUACAUUACAACAGAUUUAGGCAGUGUUAUUUUUAAGACACAGCAUCCUGCUUAGAAAAGUUAGCUAGAAGUACGGACAGGAUGAGAUCCACUUUAUGGGUGAAGUUAGUGUGGCUUUUCUCCUCCAUCCUUUUCAGAUCUCUUAAAUACCAUUUCUUUCCAAACUGGAUUAGAAAGGAAGUUGAGUUGAAGCACAGAUCUGCUGCUACAACUAAAAUACAGUAUGCAUCUCCUCCAGUUCCUGGUUGUGCCGUAGUGUGUGUGACUGUGACCAGAAGCAAAAGCUCCCUGAGUCUCUAAUUGCCAAGUAUAACAUGAGGUACGGAUUGAAUAAAAUCUAUGAAUUCUGGGAGCACUCAUCUACUGCAGCACUAAGGGCCAUGGAAAUACCCAGAUGGAAUAUGCACACCAGGAAAAUGGCAAAAUGCCAAACAUAAAGGGGCUAAAUGGUAGGAAAAGAAAGUGGAUCCAAGCUUUCAAUAAAUAAUUAUAACUUUUGGUAAGAGGAAGAGAAGAUAUUAAAGGUCAGAACUCUGUGUCAUGCCCAUGUAAGUUAUAGGAGUGACUCAUGCUAACUUCGCCUCAGCACCAUAAAACUAGCACUGAGCACAACAGCCUUCUGUUCAAUCUGCGGUUCUUUUAUAAUGCCCUUUUCUUUUUACUCUUUAGUGAGACACUGGGAAUAAAACAGCGCUAUUAAGGUUGGAAAAGGUCUCUGAGAACAUCUAGUCCAACUGCCCACCUAGCAUGACGUUAUAUUGCAAUUCUUUCUUUGGCUUUUGCACAGCUUUGAAAACCUAAGCGCAGGUGAGGCAGAGAAGCACUCAGAAUUCUUUGCCCAGAGACAAUAAUAGCCACUUCAGUGCUUGGACAGACGCAAGGCUUGUGCAGAUAAGGAAGGUGACAUCCUGCCUGCUUCGUGAGAAGAGCCUCUGCUGACUUCAUACCACCCGGAAGCAGUCACUGGUUCCAGCCCCACUUCCUGCUGGGUCCUGCACCGUCCUUAAUAGCACCAGCAGGCACUUACAGGUGGGAUACAGAGCUCCUGCCCACCUGGUCCUGCUGUCAGCAACUGUCUUUUGUGGUGGCAUUGCCCUCAGCACAGAAGGUUAUACAGUAAUCUGCCUCCUAAAACUGCCACUGUUAUAGCUGGUAAAAUGGGUCCAUUUAACCAGAGCAAGUGCUGAAUUCUGCACCCAAGAAAGGGCAGUUCUGGCUAUACAUAUGGACUGGGGGGAUGAGAUGCUGGAGAGCAGCACCACAGAAAGGGAUCAGGGUGUUCUGGCUGAUGGUAAGCCAAACAUGAGGCAGCAGUGUGCCCUGGAGUCCAAAGGGCCAACCAUACCCUGGGGUGCAGCAGGCCCAGCGCUGCCACCGGGCAAGGGAGCAUCUGGGCAGUGCCCUCAGACACAGGGUUUGGGUCCUCUGUGUCCUUUCCAACUGGGGGUAUUCUGUGAUACUGUGAUCCUUUUGGGUCCCUUUCAACUCAGGAUAUUCUAUGGCUAUAUGGCUAUAAUUCUGCUUUUUUUUUUUUUUUUUUUUUAAUCAGGAAAAGGACAUUUUUUUGCACGAAAAGGAAAUCUUUGUAUUUUCAGUAUAUCCAAACCUGAUCACAUUCUUUUGAUUUCUGUGGCUAUUUCGUCAGGGUUAUACAGCCAUAUAUAACAAACCUUGUGAAACAACACUGAAUUGAAAAUGGAUCUUUGUAGAUAGAAAAAAA
This is a long non-coding RNA of Gallus gallus (chicken), 7371 nucleotides long. Lineage: Eukaryota; Metazoa; Chordata; Aves; Galliformes; Phasianidae. The record is from Ensembl.